RNAcentral lists this ribosomal RNA (507 nucleotides) under uncultured bacterium. RNAcentral's name for it is "bacterial SSU rRNA". It matches the Rfam family "Bacterial small subunit ribosomal RNA", at positions 29 to 535 of the family's 1533-position model. The record is from RNAcentral.
AACGAACGUUGGCGGCGUGGAUUAGGCAUGCGAGUCGUACGAGAACCCGCAAGGGGGAAAGUGGCGAACGGGGUAGUAAUGCGUAGGUGACGUGCCCUGUGGUCGGGGAUAGCUUAGGGAAACUUAAGGUAAUACCCGAUGACACCAUGAGGUUUGAAUACCAUAUGGUCAAAGGUGUGAUUCCACCACAGGAGCGGCUUGCGUGGUAUUAGCUAGUUGGUGAGGUAACGGCUCACCAAGGCAACGAUGCCUAGGGGAUGUUAGCGCAUGAUCCCCACCACUGGGACUGGGAUACUGCCCAGACACCUACGGGUGGCUGCAGUCGAGAAUCUUCGGCAAUGGGGGAAACCCUGACCGAGCGACGCCGCGUGUGGGAUGAAGGCCCUUGGGUUGUAAACCACUGUCAGAGGGGAUGAAGUGCUAGAGAGCUAUCUCUCUAGUUUGACAUAGCCUCAGAGGAAGCACGGGCUAAGUUCGUGCCAGCAGACGCGGUUAAAGUAGUCGUGU